UUAAGCGACUAAGCGUACACGGUGGAUGCCCUGGCAGUCAGAGGCGAUGAAGGACGUGCUAAUCUGCGAAAAGCGUCGGUAAGGUGAUAUGAACCGUUACAGCCGGCGAUGUCCGAAUGGGGAAACCCAGUGCAAUUCGUUGCACUAUCGUUAACUGAAUACAUAGGUUAACGAGGCGAACCGGGGGAACUGAAACAUCUAAGUACCCCGAGGAAAAGAAAUCAACCGAGAUUCCCCCAGUAGCGGCGAGCGAACGGGGAGCAGCCCAGAGUCUGAAUCAGCUUGUGUGUUAGUGGAACGGUCUGGAAAGUCCGACGGUACAGGGUGAUAGUCCCGUACACCAAAAUGCACAGGUUGUGAACUCGAAGAGUAGGGCGGGACACGUGGUAUCCUGUCUGAAUAUGGGGGGACCAUCCUCCAAGGCUAAAUACUCCUGACUGACCGAUAGUGAACCAGUACCGUGAGGGAAAGGCGAAAAGAACCCCGGCGAGGGGAGUGAAAAAGAACCUGAAACCGUGUACGUACAAGCAGUGGGAGCACCUUCGGGUGUGACUGCGUACCUUUUGUAUAAUGGGUCAGCGACUUAUAUUCUGUAGCAAGGUUAACCGUAUAGGGGAGCCGCAGGGAAACCGAGUCUUAACUGGGCGUUAAGUUGCAGGGUAUAGACCCGAAACCCGGUGAUCUAGCCAUGGGCAGGUUGAAGGUUGGGUAACACUAACUGGAGGACCGAACCGACUAAUGUUGAAAAAUUAGCGGAUGACUUGUGGCUGGGGGUGAAAGGCCAAUCAAACCGGGAGAUAGCUGGUUCUCCCCGAAAGCUAUUUAGGUAGCGCCUCGUGAAUUCAUCUUCGGGGGUAGAGCACUGUUUCGGCUAGGGGGUCAUCCCGACUUACCAACCCGAUGCAAACUACGAAUACCGAAGAAUGUUAUCACGGGAGACACACGGCGGGUGCUAACGUCCGUCGUGAAGAGGGAAACAACCCAGACCGCCAGCUAAGGUCCCAAAGUCAUGGUUAAGUGGGAAACGAUGUGGGAAGGCACAGACAGCCAGGAUGUUGGCUUAGAAGCAGCCAUCAUUUAAAGAAAGCGUAAUAGCUCACUGGUCGAGUCGGCCUGCGCGGAAGAUGUAACGGGGCUAAACCAUGCACCGAAGCUGCGGCAGCGACACUAUGUGUUGUUGGGUAGGGGAGCGUUCUGUAAGCCUGCGAAGGUGACCUGUGAGGGUUGCUGGAGGUAUCAGAAGUGCGAAUGCUGACAUAAGUAACGAUAAAGCGGGUGAAAAGCCCGCUCGCCGGAAGACCAAGGGUUCCUGUCCAACGUUAAUCGGGGCAGGGUGAGUCGACCCCUAAGGCGAGGCCGAAAGGCGUAGUCGAUGGGAAACAGGUUAAUAUUCCUGUACUUGGUGUUACUGCGAAGGGGGGACGGAGAAGGCUAUGUUAGCCGGGCGACGGUUGUCCCGGUUUAAGCAUGUAGGCUGAUUGUCCAGGCAAAUCCGGAUAAUCAAGGCUGAGGUGUGAUGACGAGGCACUACGGUGCUGAAGUAACAAAUGCCCUGCUUCCAGGAAAAGCCUCUAAGCAUCAGGUAACAUCAAAUCGUACCCCAAACCGACACAGGUGGUCAGGUAGAGAAUACCAAGGCGCUUGAGAGAACUCGGGUGAAGGAACUAGGCAAAAUGGUGCCGUAACUUCGGGAGAAGGCACGCUGGUGUGUAGGUGAAGUCCCUGCGGAUGGAGCUGAGACCAGUCGAAGAUACCAGCUGGCUGCAACUGUUUAUUAAAAACACAGCACUGUGCAAACACGAAAGUGGACGUAUACGGUGUGACGCCUGCCCGGUGCCGGAAGGUUAAUUGAUGGGGUUAUCCGUAAGGAGAAGCUCUUGAUCGAAGCCCCGGUAAACGGCGGCCGUAACUAUAACGGUCCUAAGGUAGCGAAAUUCCUUGUCGGGUAAGUUCCGACCUGCACGAAUGGCGUAAUGAUGGCCAGGCUGUCUCCACCCGAGACUCAGUGAAAUUGAACUCGCUGUGAAGAUGCAGUGUACCCGCGGCAAGACGGAAAGACCCCGUGAACCUUUACUAUAGCUUGACACUGAACAUUGAGCCUUGAUGUGUAGGAUAGGUGGGAGGCUUUGAAGCGUGGACGCCAGUCUGCGUGGAGCCAACCUUGAAAUACCACCCUUUAAUGUUUGAUGUUCUAACGUUGGCCCCUGACCGGGGUUGCGGACAGUGUCUGGUGGGUAGUUUGACUGGGGCGGUCUCCUCCCAAAGCGUAACGGAGGAGCACGAAGGUUAGCUAAUCCUGGUCGGACAUCAGGAGGUUAGUGCAAUGGCAUAAGCUAGCUUGACUGCGAGCGUGACGGCGCGAGCAGGUGCGAAAGCAGGUCAUAGUGAUCCGGUGGUUCUGAAUGGAAGGGCCAUCGCUCAACGGAUAAAAGGUACUCCGGGGAUAACAGGCUGAUACCGCCCAAGAGUUCAUAUCGACGGCGGUGUUUGGCACCUCGAUGUCGGCUCAUCACAUCCUGGGGCUGAAGUAGGUCCCAAGGGUAUGGCUGUUCGCCAUUUAAAGUGGUACGCGAGCUGGGUUUAGAACGUCGUGAGACAGUUCGGUCCCUAUCUGCCGUGGGCGCUGGAGAAUUGAGGGGGGCUGCUCCUAGUACGAGAGGACCGGAGUGGACGCAUCACUGGUGUUCGGGUUGUCAUGCCAAUGGCACUGCCCGGUAGCUAAAUGCGGAAGAGAUAAGUGCUGAAAGCAUCUAAGCACGAAACUUGCCCCGAGAUGAGUUCUCCCUGAGACUUUAAGUCUCCUGAAGGAACGUUGAAGACGACGACGUUGAUAGGCCGGGUGUGUAAGCGCAGCGAUGCGUUGAGCUAACCGGUACUAAUGAACCGUGAGGCUUAACCU
This 2899-nucleotide ribosomal RNA is filed under the name Klebsiella pneumoniae. Its description in RNAcentral is "bacterial LSU rRNA". It matches the Rfam family "Bacterial large subunit ribosomal RNA". Lineage: Bacteria; Pseudomonadati; Pseudomonadota; Gammaproteobacteria; Enterobacterales; Enterobacteriaceae. The record is from RNAcentral.